UAAGCCCACGGUACCGCAUGGUACUGAGGGAAAAGGAUUUAUUCGCUCUAGGAUGGACUCGCGUCCAAUUAGCUAGUUGGUGAGGUAACGGCCCACCAAGGCGACGAUUGGUAGCCGGACUGAGAGGUUGAACGGCCACAUUGGGACUGAGAUACGGCCCAGACUCCUACGGGAGGCAGCAGUGGGGAAUAUUGCACAAUGGGCGCAAGCCUGAUGCAGCGACGCCGCGUGCGGGAUGACGGCCUUCGGGUUGUAAACCGCUUUUGACUGGGAGCAAGCCCUUCGGGGUGAGUGUACCUUUCGAAUAAGCACCGGCUAACUACGUGCCAGCAGCCGCGGUAAUACGUAGGGUGCAAGCGUUAUCCGGAAUUAUUGGGCGUAAAGGGCUCGUAGGCGGUUCGUCGCGUCCGGUGUGAAAGUCCAUCGCUUAACGGUGGAUCCGCGCCGGGUACGGGCGGGCUUGAGUGCGGUAGGGGAGACUGGAAUUCCAGGUGUAACGGUGGAAUGUGUAGAUAUCGGGAAGAACACCAAUGGCGAAGGCAGGUCUCUGGGCCGUCACUGACGCUGAGGAGCGAAAGCGUGGGGAGCGAACAGGAUUAGAUACCCUGGUAGUCCACGCCGUAAACGGUGGAUGCUGGAUGUGGGGACCAUUCCACGGUCUCCGUGUCGGAGCCAACGCGUUAAGCAUCCCGCCUGGGGAGUACGGCCGCAAGGCUAAAACUCAAAGAAAUUGACGGGGGCCCGCACAAGCGGCGGAGCAUGCGGACUAAUUCGAUGCAACGCGAAGAACCUUACCUGGGCUUGACAUGUGCCGGAUCGCCCCGGAAACGGGGUUUCCCUUCGGGACCGGUUCACAGGUGGUGCAUGGUCGUCGUCAGCUCGUGUCGUGAGAUGUUGGGUUAAGUCCCGCAACGAGCGCAACCCUCGCCGCAUGUUGCCAGCGGGUUAUGCCGGGAACUCAUGUGGGACCGCCGGGGUCAACUCAGAGGAAGGUGGGGAUGACGUCAGAUCAUCAUGCCCCUUACGUCCAGGGCUUCACGCAUGCUACAAUGGCCGGUACAACGGGAUGCGACACCGCGAGGUGGAGCGGAUCCCUUAAAACCGGUCUCAGUUCGGAUUGGAGUCUGCAACCCGACUCCAUGAAGGCGGAGUCGCUAGUAAUCGCGGAUCAGCAACGC
RNAcentral lists this ribosomal RNA (1178 nucleotides) under uncultured Bifidobacterium sp. RNAcentral's name for it is "bacterial SSU rRNA". It matches the Rfam family "Bacterial small subunit ribosomal RNA", at positions 173 to 1357 of the family's 1533-position model. The record is from RNAcentral. Lineage: Bacteria; Bacillati; Actinomycetota; Actinomycetes; Bifidobacteriales; Bifidobacteriaceae.